RNAcentral lists this ribosomal RNA (420 nucleotides) under Triticum aestivum (bread wheat). RNAcentral describes it as "partial small subunit ribosomal RNA". Lineage: Eukaryota; Viridiplantae; Streptophyta; Magnoliopsida; Poales; Poaceae. The record is from RNAcentral.
AUGCAGUACUGGUCACUAGAAGGAAUCGAGGAGAUCCUUGGGAAGAAGGUGCGUGUGGACCACCUCGACAGCAGGACGUAGGAGCGCGGCCACAUGAAGACUUUCGCCUGCUGGGUCUGGACCAGCGACGUCGCCCACAUCCCCACCAAGCACACGCUCGAGGUCCUACCACGCGGCGCGGGCCGCAUCGAGGAGAUGCAAGGCUUCUCGCCGCCCGACCGGCGCGUCGCCCCCUCACCGGGCACCGCGGACUACACCAUGCUCAUCCACGUCGAUCGGGUGGAAGACUGGAUGCCCCCUUCGCCGCGCUCCUCCCACUCCGCCCAGAUUGGGCUACCGUCGUCCGACUCCGACACUGACGACCGGCCCCGCUUCACGGUGAUCCCCGCCACCUGGACCAUGGAGGUCGAGGACGACUAG